AAAAUCAAGUGCAGGUGGUAGAUCCUUUUCCUAUCUAGCGCCUAAACUUUGGAAUAGUCUUCCCUGCACUGUCCGGGAGGCAGACACACUCUGUCAGUUUAAAUCUAGACUAAAGACGCAUCUUUUUAAUCUUGCAUACACUACUCUUCCAUAAUAUAAAUCUUCAGAGGGUUUAGGCUGCAUUAGUUAGAUCAACCGGAACCAAAAACACAACUGAUGUACUUGUUGCAUCAAAGAGUACAGAACAGUACUCUACUCUCAGCCAGUCUUGUCUCAUUGUUCCAAGGUUACCACAGCGAGCAGGAUGCAGUUCAUGGCCUGACCUGAUGGUAGAGCGGAGAAUGGGAAGUGGGGACCUGACAAGAGCUGAGAUGAUAGAGCUGGAUAAAGAAGGACGCGGUCUCUUGACAUGUCUUCACCACAAAACUUCAAAUGCUAUUAGAUUAUUAAUGAUAAUCUUAAACUAUAAUUUAUUUUAUUAUUAAGUUUAUUUAUUUUAUUUAGCCUUGUUGUGCAAGUUCUCUGGAGCUUGUGCAGAGGCAGCAGCUUUUGCCAGAGGGGAACUGGAAUCCCCUGGUUGGGCCUGGGUUCUCCUGAGGUUUUUUUUCUCGAUUAGAGUUUUGGGUUCCUCGCCACCGUUUGCAUACUGUUUUUGCACUAUCUGCCUGACCGGGGGGGCUGCUUUAGAAUCUUAAAGUUUUACUUAAUUAAUAUUGCAUAUAGGAAUUUAUUAUCUGUUAUAUUUGACCUGUGCUUCUCUCUCCUUUAUCCUAAAUGUGUGCUCUCACUGAGCGUGUGUGUGUGUGCGUACUUGUCUGUGUACGUACGUGUGUGUGUGUGUGUGUUGUGUGUGUGUGCGUGCGCAUCCGUGUGUGUGUGUGUCUCUGUGUCUGUGUGUGUUGGUGCGUGUGCGUGUUGUGUGUGUGGAGUGUUUUGUGUGUGGGUGUGUCUGUCUUCUGUGUUUUCAACCUUUUCUUGUUUUUGCAGGUACAACUUUGAUUGUUUUGCUUGUAGUCAAUGUGUCUCAUGUGCAGCUGCUUUGUAACAAUGAAAAUUGUAAAAGCGCUAUAUAAAUAAAGUUGAGUUGAGUUGAGUUGAGACUUACAGAAGGUAUACUUAACUAAGAAGGUUUCGGGAAACACGUAUCUUAAGGUACUUAAGAACGACGUAGCGUUAAGAAGGUUUGCCCUGAUUAGAAUCGAGUAGUAUUUUAAAAUAAAUAUAUUGUUUUAACGUCGGCGUGAAACGGAAGUUGCGAUUGUGUUUUUUCCGAAUCGUGAUGGAUACCCGAGUAAAACGACUUCUGAAAUGAGAAAAAAAUGUAGGGCGGGACUUGAUUUCAUUCUCCGACAACUGAUUGGAUCGUUAAAAGGUGAAAGAUUUGAAUGCCAUUUUGCCAUAGGUCAAUCAUUGCAGCCCCGCCCUCGUGACCAGAAGUGAAGAGAGGUCAUUUCGUGCAAAUUAAUAAAAAAAAUAUGUGCACAGAUAAAUAAUUUAUAAUAAAUACUUCACCACUGUGUAAUAAUAAUAAUAAUAAUAAUAAUAGUAAAACAAAUUUUGCAAAACAACAUUAUUAUUAUUAUUAUUUUACAAAAUUAUUAUUGAAUCUCUGCAUUACAGCGAUGUGAAAUCAUUGCACAUUUGUCAAUAACUAGGUAAGAAAAUGCCGCAACCUUUGACCUGUCAGUAAACUUCAUCAAGAGUGGAGAAGUGAAACAGAAGUAUCCAGGUGAGCCAGCAACCCUUCCACCAGCCCUCUUCUAGACUUGAGUGAUUAGAAGUUUACGAAUCAGAUGAAGUGAUUGAAACACUCAGUGGAGCUUGUGAUCUCACGCAAGAUUGAAUUCCAUAUCAGUCUGAACCAGAGCUCACAUUGAAGAUCUCUGUAAGAACUCUUUUUCUUCUUUUUUAAUAGGCUCCGAGAAAAACAUUUGUCUAGAGACUGACGUUGAGAAAAUUAUACAAUGGUUCCAAACCCACACUUGAAGGACGUUGAAAGAGAUUCACCCUUCAUUAACUUCAGCGUGUUUUGGGUUUCUGUUCACUUUUUGGUAAAGAUCUGCAUUAAAGUCCUUCACGAGGGCAAAAAAACCGCCCCUGACGUGUAGAGCAAAACCAGGGUGUCUGACCUACAGGCCGUUACAGCGGUGCAUUGAUCAGACUGCAUCUCAAAUUAGCACGCGCCGCCGAGCGCGUAAUGACAGCGGAUGAGAUCGCCCCAAGAAACCUCGAACACAAAAGAAGAUAUUUUGAAGAAUGUUGUUAACAGCCCCAUGUAGAUGAUGACAGAAUUUUCAUUUUGAAAGUGAACUACUCCUUUAAGACACCUCGUGUGAACUGACGUAUGGAGUUGGUAUUGACACCUCAUCUAAACACCUCUGGCGGUGAAGAUCCGGAAUCACUUCAAAUACAGGAAGCCCAACACAGCUUUGGCAUUGUGCAGGUUGCCAUAGAAACGAAUCAUGUGAGGAAGUAAAAAGCUUAGAAUGAUCAGAAGCUCUGUCUCGUAAUGACAGUAAUUCUGCAUGAAUCUGACAAUGAACGGGAAAAAACAGUGUGAUGUGAAGGAAUACAUCACGCUGUUAUGAUAAUGAUAGUCAAUCUUCUGUUAAUAACAAUAAUAGUACAGUUUAUGUUAUGAUGUUUGUUUUCUUGUGAAUGUUUCAUGGUUUAUGUAGUCAAGACUUCAAAUAAGUGCGCAAGGAGAGAGGAUAUAAAGGGAGAAAUAUGGUCAAUUGUCUUGCUGAGUUUUAAAAACGUAUCAUAAACCAUAAGCGCAUGUUUAUUUCUCUCAUCGUAAAUAGAAAAUUUGUA
Molecule: long non-coding RNA, 2814 nt
Organism: Triplophysa rosa
Lineage: Eukaryota; Metazoa; Chordata; Actinopteri; Cypriniformes; Nemacheilidae
Exons: 4
Source: RefSeq, a predicted model, not a curated record